ACGUUUCUUUGGGUCUUGUCAAUGGUGCUAAAGGCAUUGUUGACAAAGUAGAAUGGGAUUCGAACGACAAGAAUAAAGCAAGAAGAGUUGUAAUAAUUUUUAAUAGCGGUCUUAGACACGAACCUGUGAAAUCGAAAUUUGAAAUUAUCAAUAGAGCAUUCGUUCACCGUGAACAGUUUCCAAUCUGUGUCGCGUAUGCUAUCACCAUACAUAAAAGUCAAGGGCUAAGUUUGAAUAAUGCUCUCAUUGAUAUUGGGUCAUCCACGUUCUCUUGUAGGUAUGCUUAUGUAGCACUCUCUAGAGUGACUAAUUUGCAAGGUUAUUAAAGCACAACAGUCAGCUAUAGUCGAAUAUAAUCGCCUAAGAGCCAAGUAUCGCCCUGAUGUAUCGCUUAUUAUAAACAGUAAACCAACAAAGAAAAAAGGCAAAUAUAGAGAGUG
RNAcentral lists this unclassified non-coding RNA (440 nucleotides) under Melitaea cinxia (Glanville fritillary). Its description in RNAcentral is "misc RNA ENSMCXG00005016303.1". The record is from RNAcentral. Lineage: Eukaryota; Metazoa; Arthropoda; Insecta; Lepidoptera; Nymphalidae.